UUGAACGCUGGCGGCAGGCCUAACACAUGCAAGUCGAGCGGAUGAAGGGAGCUUGCUCCUGGAUUCAGCGGCGGACGGGUGAGUAAUGCCUAGGAAUCUGCCUGGUAGUGGGGGAUAACGUCCGGAAACGGGCGCUAAUACCGCAUACGUCCUGAGGGAGAAAGUGGGGGAUCUUCGGACCUCACGCUAUCAGAUGAACCUAGGUCGGAUUAGCUAGUUGGUGGGGUAAAGGCCUACCAAGGCGACGAUCCGUAACUGGUCUGAGAGGAUGAUCAGUCACACUGGAACUGAGACACGGUCCAGACUCCUACGGGAGGCAGCAGUGGGGAAUAUUGGACAAUGGGCGAAAGCCUGAUCCAGCCAUGCCGCGUGUGUGAAGAAGGUCUUCGGAUUGUAAAGCACUUUAAGUUGGGAGGAAGGGCAGUAAGUUAAUACCUUGCUGUUUUGACGUUACCAACAGAAUAAGCACCGGCUAACUUCGUG
RNAcentral lists this ribosomal RNA (483 nucleotides) under uncultured bacterium. RNAcentral describes it as "partial 16S ribosomal RNA". It matches the Rfam family "Bacterial small subunit ribosomal RNA", at positions 30 to 507 of the family's 1533-position model. The record is from RNAcentral.